GGAGAUGCUGCUGCAGGCAGGAAUGCUCACUGAUGCCUCUGUGAGCUCAAGCCCUGAAUCCUGGUGGCUGUGGACCAGGAUUGCCACAGGUCAGAGGAAGGCCAGUGCCCCCAUCACUUUGCAACGUUGAAAAAAAUGACAACGGAAAAAGUCAAGUUCUCCACUUUUGAAAAACUCCAGGGGUGCGAUUGCGCAAGCAGAGGUGUGGCCUGAGAUGGAUGACAUUGGCCCACUGACAGAUAACCCUGAAGAAACUACACAGCAGAAAAAGAAAGGUUGAGGAAGGGGGCAGAGUGGCAGGAUCUUUCCGACAGAGAAGAAAGCGGGGCCUCCUCCUCCCUCUGCCUGGCGGGUGCAGCACAGUGGUGCUCAGUGUUUGGCUGAUUUGCCUCAGCGGCUCUUCUUCCAGGUCUAAGGUUGCAGUGCAAGGCCCUGUUCACCUGACACUAUUGAAAAGCAGAGCGGGUGUAACAGUGGCUUAUCACGGAGGCACCGGAGGUCUCUGUUUCUGGCUGGGCUCUGCAGCGGACUUGGCAUUCAGAAAGCCCUCGUAGAAAAACUGCCAAAAUACCAGCUUUCUGAAAAACUCCAAGAACAAGAAAGCUAUCUUCAAGAAAUUUCCAGCUUUUCAGAAACAUUCUCUGUAUCCAGGAAGCACUAUAGGCCUAGAUAUCUACUUGUACUAGUGAGAAGAUGGGAAAUAAAAAAUAAAAAUGAAGAAUGAAAAUGUAUCUCCAUUGUAACAACAACAAAAAAAUCCUUCCACAAAUAAAAGAUUGAUAAGCAGGCCCUGAGAUGUCAACAUUUUCAAAAAUAAAGGCUAAGUUUUAGAGUUGUAGUCAGCUGUCUAAAGACUUGAGAAACCAGACAGCUCUGAACAGAAUGGAAUAGGAAAUAAAUCAGAUGAGACCCUGGGUUUCACUAAAAAGAAAUAGCUGAAAAUGUCAACAGGGAGGUAGGAAGCAUCAGGAGGGCUUGGCAGAGCAGGGCUAGGUUGGAGACUUGGCCGUAGGACGUUGGUCUUCUGGAGGACAAAUAACACCUAGUUAGAACCUCAGUACUAGAGAAACAGGACAUUGGGAUAAGCAUUGCAACAGGUCAUUCAGUGAGGAAAAGAGUUCCAUGAGAAUCUAAUAUCCAGAAAAGGAUUUGAAGAGUAAACCUGUGCAGAAACAAGGCUGGCUUCCUGUCUGGGUUGCUGAGUCAUUGAGCUACUGGAUCAUGGCUUCAGUAUUUCUUCUGUAAUGGAAGGAAGGAAGAUUUGGGCUGGAAGUUGGAUGUGAGGAUAAACUCUAGCCUGCAGCAGAAAUCUGAGUUGCCCCAGAGAUAGGGAGUGGAGGGAUAGGGGAAGGUGUAGACAAUGAGUCAGACAGGCCCUCCAGCCAGAUUCUGGAUGCACAGCUUUUGAAAUGGACACUGGAGAAGGUAUUAGUCUUGACACACAUCCACACAUGGAUACUGUCAAUACGUAACUUUAAAUAUGUUGGCCAAAUAUGGCCUGCUUUUAGAAAAUCAUCAUUUAUAUUUCUUUCUCAAAAGUUCAAUUGCCUCAAUCCAAUGUAGAGAAUACUCCCUGUGCUGAAAAACAAAGCAAUAAUAUUGCUCUGAUAGCUUAGAGUUGUCUCAAGAUUAGAUAGCACAGUGUGGAGAAGGACCAGAGCCACACCAUGGAUGACUGAUAGUUUGCAAACCAUUAAUCUGUAAACACUGUUGUAUACUUCUCAGACCUCAGACAGUGAGGCAACAACUGUAAUUGAUACACUGAACAUUAUUCAGUGACUUCAUAUGCAAAUAGAUCCAAGUCUCUUUCCAUUUAAAUGCAGGCCACAUCCCACAACCAGGGCAUUCUCUCUUGAACUACUAGCUCUAUGCAUUCAUCCCCUCAUUUUAGAACCUCCACUGGGUCCGUAAUGUGCCCCAGCAUAUACGACGAAAUUGUUCCUGUCAGUGUUCCUUCCAAGUGUGACUUACGCCACUGGCUCAGUCUCAGUCCCCACUUAAACUUGUCUCUGAAUAUGUCAAACAAACCUGUCCUCUACUUAUGUUCAUGCUACGGGGAAAACAACUGCUCUUGUUUUCUUAGUCCUGGUUUUAUUCUGGGAAAUCUUGUUGGAGCAAAGGUGGUUAAUAUACCAGCCAGUAAGACAAGUGAACUUCUAGAAAUUGGUUUCCUGGGGGCCAGAGAGAUGGCUCAGAGGUUAAGAGCACUUGCUGCUCUUCCAGAGGACCCAGCACCCCAUGGCAGCUAACGACCACCUGUAACUCCAAUCCUAAGAAAUAUGACACCCUCUUAUGGCUUCCAUGGACAUUAGGUAUGCAUGUUAUACACAGACUUACAUGCAGGCAAAACACCCAUG
Peromyscus californicus insignis is the source of this 2357-nucleotide long non-coding RNA. RefSeq lists it as uncharacterized. The record is from RefSeq and is a predicted model, not a curated record. Lineage: Eukaryota; Metazoa; Chordata; Mammalia; Rodentia; Cricetidae. The transcript is spliced from 4 exons.